GCACAACGCGAAGAACCUUACCAGGCCUUGACGUGCAGAGAACUUUCCAGAGAUGGAUAGGUGCCUUCGGGAACUCUGACACAGGUGCUGCAUGGCUGUCGUCAGCUCGUGUCGUGAGAUGUUGGGUUAAGUCCCGUAACGAGCGCAACCCUUGUCCUUAGUUACCAGCACGUUAAGGUGGGCACUCGUAAGGAGACUGCCGGUGACAAACCGGAGGAAGGUGGGGAAUGACGUCAAGUCAUCGAUGGCCCUUACGGCCUAGGGCUACACACGUGCUACAAUGGUCGGUACAAAGGGUUGCCAAGCCGCGAGGUGGAGCUAAUCCCAUAAAACCGAUCGUAGUCCGGAUCGCAGUCUGCAACUCGACUGCGUGAAGUCGGAAUCGCUAGUAAUCGUGAAUCAGAAUGUCACGGUGAAUACGUUCCCGGG
RNAcentral lists this ribosomal RNA (429 nucleotides) under uncultured bacterium. RNAcentral's name for it is "bacterial SSU rRNA". It matches the Rfam family "Bacterial small subunit ribosomal RNA", at positions 954 to 1378 of the family's 1533-position model. The record is from RNAcentral.